Molecule: ribosomal RNA, 253 nt
Filed under: uncultured bacterium
Lineage: Bacteria
Description: partial 16S ribosomal RNA
Rfam family: Bacterial small subunit ribosomal RNA
Source: RNAcentral
UACGGAGGGUGCAAGCGUUAAUCGGAAUUAUUGGGCGUAAAGAGCUCGUAGGCGGCCUGUUGCGUCCGCUGUGAAAUCCCGGGGCUUAACCCCGGGCUUGCAGUGGAUACGGGCAGGCUGGAGGCAGGCAGGGGAGAACGGAAUUCCCGGUGUAGCGGUGAAAUGCGCAGAUAUCGGGAGGAACACCGGUGGCGAAGGCGGUUCUCUGGGCCUGUACUGACGCUGAGGAGCGAAAGCGUGGGGAGCGAACAGG